GACGAACGCUGGCGGCGUGCUUAACACAUGCAAGUCGAACGCUGAAGCUCAGCUUUUGUUGGGUGGAUGAGUGGCGAACGGGUGAGUAACACGUGAGUAACCUGCCUCCUUCUUUGGGAUAACGCCCGGAGACGGGUGCUAAUACUGGAUAUUCACUGGUCUUCGCAUGGGGGUUGGUGGAAAGGGUUUUUCUGGUGGGGGAUGGGCUCGCGGCCUAUCAGCUUGUUGGUGGGGUUAUGGCCUACCAAGGCUUUGACGGGUAGCCGGCCUGAGAGGGUGACCGGUCACAUUGGGACUGAGAUACGGCCCAGACUCCUACGGGAGGCAGCAGUGGGGAAUAUUGCACAAUGGGCGCAAGCCUGAUGCAGCGACGCCGCGUGAGGGAUGGAGGCCUUCGGGUUGUGAACCUCUUUCGCUCAUGGUCAAGCCGCAACAAUGGUUGUGGUGAGGGUAGUGGGUAAAGAAGCGCCGGCUAACUACGUG
RNAcentral lists this ribosomal RNA (483 nucleotides) under uncultured bacterium. RNAcentral describes it as "partial 16S ribosomal RNA". It matches the Rfam family "Bacterial small subunit ribosomal RNA", at positions 28 to 507 of the family's 1533-position model. The record is from RNAcentral.